GAGGGAGGGGGCGCCGCUGCCCCAGUUGUGACCCAGGCAGGACUCAGACUGCAAUUCUCCCAAGUUCUUUGUGACACAAAAGGUAAACAGAAGGCCCGGCUUCUCCCCACCUCCCACUGAUCCCCCUCCCCCAGCCAGCCAGAUGGGCCAGGAGCUGGGGGGAGGCAGGAGGCGGAAAAAAGGGCAGAUUGUGCAAAGGAAAACAAAAGAGACCUAGAGACACCCAGAGACAGGAAACCAGGAGAGACGUGAGAGGAGAUGGAGAGACUUGUGGGGGAGGCGGGGGAGGGGACAGCUGGGGACCCCUCCGCCCUGGGGGCCGCCGCCUCUCCCAGGCCUUGGGAACAGGGGGACGAUGACAGAGUGACCCGCAGGGACGAGGCCCAGAAACCUGAGAGGUGACCGCGGGAGACCCUCACAGCAUGGACUGGAAACCGACGCCCAGCUCUGCGGCUCGGAUGAGGUUGUGCCCCCCUGGAGGGCAGCCGGGGCUGUCUGCUCUGUGUAACCCUGGCCAGAGAGCUGGACUCAAGUCCCAACUCCGCUGCAUGCUAAGUGACCACAGGGGCCGGGACCCUCUCUUGCACCAGCCUUGGCCAGGCUGCCCAACGCCCCGGCUUCUGUUUGAACAAGCCCCGGACGUGCUGGGCGCAUGGAAACCGCAUGACAGCAACUGCCCAGCGCAGUGCCUCCCUCUGGUUGCCUCAUCUUUGAAGUGGAAAUAAAAAUAUCAGAACUCCGAUUCCGGGACGGAGAGGCGAUUUCGUGACUCGGCGUAAAUGAAGUUGUUCUCGAAGGACUUCCUGGCAGGGGCUGGGCGGGAGGGAAAAUCAAGGCCAGGCCCUCCGUCUCUCCCACCCUGUGUACCUCUCGUGCUGCUGGGGGACCACAGGCGUUACCAUGGAGCCCCCCUAAAGCCUCAUUCACAUCUACGGGGGUGGUGGAGGGGUGCCCCCCCCCGACUGUUUCAUUUUAAUUGGAAAUCUUGUAAUUUUAAUUUUGCAGGGUUCUUUUCAGAGUUCGGAGCCAACAAAACUUUUUUUUUUUUUUUAAAGUCUCAAAUAUUUUCCUUGGCCCCGGGCACUGCGCCCACAGAGAGCC
Long non-coding RNA from Chinchilla lanigera (long-tailed chinchilla), 1101 nucleotides. RefSeq lists it as uncharacterized. The record is from RefSeq and is a predicted model, not a curated record. NCBI's taxonomy places the organism in Eukaryota, Metazoa, Chordata, Mammalia, Rodentia, Chinchillidae. The transcript has 4 exons.